AGGAGGAUGUCCAGAGGACGAAUGCAAGCUGGGUGGACUCCAUUUUCAGCUACAACCCUAAGGAGAUAGGUCAUUCGCAGUUGGGUGGAGCGCUAGUGCCUCUGACACAGGGCUCCACCCAGGAGUGUGCGACACCAGUUGCAGACGUAGCAGGACGUCUGGCUCAUGAGGUUGCCCCUCCAGAGCCUCUUACGUACGACCAGCUCCAAACCAGAGAAGCGCAGCGGGCAGCGAGACGUGGUGCUAGUGCUGUGCAUCACAAGCGACGACGCAUUUAGUCCAUAAGGCCCUCUUUAUCUUUAUGCAGAUCAUCUUUUGUAGGCCGGUGCAGAUUAUGAUGUGUAGACUGUUGCAGGCUAUGAUGUGUAGGCCAGUGCAGGCUAUGAGGUGUAGGCCGGUGCAGGCUAUGAGGUGUAGGUUGGUGCAGACUAUGAUGUCCAUGCUCGUUCUUUUGCUCUACUAUGAUGGACAUGGUCCAUAGACCAGGU
This 488-nucleotide long non-coding RNA is filed under the name Setaria italica (foxtail millet). RNAcentral's name for it is "long non-coding RNA (SITA_LNC004677)". Lineage: Eukaryota; Viridiplantae; Streptophyta; Magnoliopsida; Poales; Poaceae. The record is from RNAcentral.